Molecule: non-coding RNA, 97 nt
Organism: Rhizopogon salebrosus TDB-379
Lineage: Eukaryota; Fungi; Basidiomycota; Agaricomycetes; Boletales; Rhizopogonaceae
Source: the annotation of a GenBank genome assembly
GCCCGCCUAGCUCAAUCGGAUAGAGCGUCAGACUUUUACGACCGUUCAUUCGAUUGGUGUAAUCUGAAGGCUGCGAGUUCGACCCUCGCGGUGGGCU